AAGUCAUAUGCUUGUCUUAAAGAUUAAGCCAUGCAUGUCUAAGUAUAAAUAGUAUACAGUGAAACUGCGAAUGGCUCAUUAAAACAGUUAUAGUUUAUUUGAUAGUGCAAAUUACAUGGAUAACCGUGGUAAUUCUAGAGCUAAUACAUGCGCAAAUACCGGACGCAAGAAUGGUAGCAUUUAUUAGAUUUAACCAUCACAUGGUGAAUCAUAGUAACUUAGCUGACCGCGCGCAAGCGUGGUAAAUCAUUCAAGUUUCUGCCCUAUCAGCUUUCGAUGGUAGUGUAUUGGACUACCAUGGCAGUCACGGGUAACGGAGAAUUAGGGUUCGAUUCCGGAGAGGGAGCCUGAGAAACGGCUACCACAUCUAAGGAAGGCAGCAGGCGCGUAAAUUACCCAAUCCCGAUUCGGGGAGGUAGUGACAAGAAAUAGCAACUCGGGCGGUUAUCCGUUACGGGAUUGCAAUGAGAUAAGUCCAAAUCCGUAAACGAUUAACAAUUGGAGGGCAAGUCUGGUGCCAGCAGCCGCGGUAAUUCCAGCUCCAAUAGCGUAUACUUAAGUUGUUGCAGUUAAAAAGCUCGUAGUUGAAAUUCGAAUUAGCUGAUAGAGGGCUUAGGCUAUCUAGCAGUUGGUUCUCCGUCUACAAUCCCUCUUGGGCUUCAGGGUUGCAGAGGGCUGAGUAGACAAUUUACCUUGAAAAAAUUAGAGUGUUCCAGGCAGGUUUUCGCCGGAAUACAUUAGCAUGGAAUAAUGGAAUAGGACUUAGGUCUUUUGUUGGUUUUAGGAUCUGAGUAAUGAUUAAUAGGGACAGAUGGGGGCAUUAGUAUUUAAUUGUCAGAGGUGAAAUUCUUGGAUUUAUUAAAGACUAACUUAUGCGAAAGCAUUUGCCAAGGAUGUUUUCAUUAAUCAAGAACGAAAGUUAGGGGAUCAAAGACGAUCAGAUACCGUCGUAGUCUUAACUAUAAACUAUACCGACUCGGGAUCGGAAGGGUAAUAUUUAAGGCCCUUUCGGCACCGUAAGAGAAAUCAAAGUCUUUGGGUUCUGGGGGGAGUAUGGUCGCAAGGCUGAAACUUAAAGGAAUUGACGGAAGGGCACCACCAGGAGUGGAGCCUGCGGCUUAAUUUGACUCAACACGGGGAAACUUACCAGGUCAAAACAUGGAUGGGA
RNAcentral lists this ribosomal RNA (1168 nucleotides) under Paramecium sp. aAcq2. RNAcentral's name for it is "SSU rRNA". It matches the Rfam family "Eukaryotic small subunit ribosomal RNA", at positions 21 to 1239 of the family's 1831-position model. Lineage: Eukaryota; Ciliophora; Oligohymenophorea; Peniculida; Parameciidae. The record is from RNAcentral.